RNAcentral lists this ribosomal RNA (416 nucleotides) under Anomaloglossus cf. baeobatrachus ABGD cluster 2. RNAcentral's name for it is "partial large subunit ribosomal RNA". It matches the Rfam family "Bacterial large subunit ribosomal RNA", at positions 1816 to 2397 of the family's 2925-position model. Lineage: Eukaryota; Metazoa; Chordata; Amphibia; Anura; Aromobatidae. The record is from RNAcentral.
GCCUCUUGAUUAAACCAUAAGAGGUCCAGCCUGCCCAGUGACAUUGUUCAACGGCCGCGGUAUCCUAACCGUGCGAAGGUAGCGUAAUCACUUGUCCUUUAAAUGAAGACUAGUAUGAAUGGCCCCACGAAAGCUAUACUGUCUCCUUUUUCUAAUCAGUUAAACUAAUCUCCCCGUGAAGAAGCGGGGAUAAACAUAUAAGACGAGAAGACCCUAUGGAGCUUCAAACAACUGAAACACUUGUAUAUCCUCCCCUCACCUACCAACAUUUAACCUCACAUUUUGUUUCUAGUUUUAGGUUGGGGUGACCACGGAGAAAAAACUAACCUCCACGACGAAAGAGACAUCUCUAAACAAAAAGCUACAUCUUUAUGUAUUAACACAUUAACCUUUAUUGACCCAAUAAAUUGAUCAAC